GUGCUCGCUUCGACAGCACAUAUACCAAA
This 29-nucleotide small nuclear RNA is filed under the name Cervus elaphus hippelaphus. Lineage: Eukaryota; Metazoa; Chordata; Mammalia; Artiodactyla; Cervidae. The record is from RNAcentral.